UUGAAAAAUGCGAACUAGAACUACAUGAGACACUAUCUCUAUCGUUACGAACCUAACACUUUCUACCAAGUUAAUCGGAAUAAGACCUCUCAAACACUCACAAGUGAUAUAGGGCUUGAAAGAAAGUCUAGGUUUGAGUUUGGGUUAACUGCUCUAAUAAGGAGAGUCAGCUACUUGGAUUAACAAGAGUGAUCAAAAUGAAUAAGAAAAUCCAAGUAUUUUAGGGUAUCCAUGAGUUCAAAUUUGAUGCAGACAUGAUAAUUAAAGAUCAGAUUCAGGUUCAAAUUGAUAGGGAAUGGUAUCAGAUCAUGAUAGUGUGGUCGAGUAGAGCAAUCUAGGCAUGGUUCAGUUUUAUUUCAAAUUCAUUGACUAUGCAACAAACAACUAGCAACGAGGGCACUGAGUUUAUCCGGUGAAUCAAAAUGCUUACAAGGCUAUCUCAUCAUCAUCCCCUAUGCAUAUGCAACAAUCCUAAAUGAAACACUCUAGACUCGAUCCUAAAUGUGAUGCAACUACAUGAACACUCUUUUUUUUGUGAAAUCAUUUUC
RNAcentral lists this small RNA (548 nucleotides) under Arabidopsis thaliana (thale cress). Its description in RNAcentral is "ATSL272240". The record is from RNAcentral. Lineage: Eukaryota; Viridiplantae; Streptophyta; Magnoliopsida; Brassicales; Brassicaceae.